RNAcentral lists this transfer RNA (72 nucleotides) under Ovis aries (sheep). It matches the Rfam family "tRNA". Rfam says of the family: Transfer RNA (tRNA) molecules are approximately 80 nucleotides in length. Their secondary structure includes four short double-helical elements and three loops (D, anti-codon, and T loops). The record is from Rfam by way of RNAcentral. Lineage: Eukaryota; Metazoa; Chordata; Mammalia; Artiodactyla; Bovidae.
UCUCUGGUGGCUCAGAUGUUGAAGAAUCUGCUUGCAAUGCAGGAGACCCAGGUUUCAUCCCUGGUUGGAGAA